RNAcentral lists this long non-coding RNA (204 nucleotides) under Mytilus galloprovincialis (Mediterranean mussel). The record is from RNAcentral. Lineage: Eukaryota; Metazoa; Mollusca; Bivalvia; Mytilida; Mytilidae.
AAUCUCCUUGCAAAAUGAAACAAAUUGCUGUUUUGAAAAAUAGGGGUCCAUGCACUCGUUUUUAAAUUAAAUCAGUUUGAAUGAUAAAAAUCAGUCGAAAAAUGCAUCUUUUCCCGAUAUGUCACAGUUUGACGUCGUGAAAAUAACAUUUUACGUUAGCAACGUCAUUACCUUCCCUGUAACUGUAUCGUAUGCCCUUAAAAC